RNAcentral lists this transfer RNA (76 nucleotides) under Pantoea sp. WMus005. RNAcentral's name for it is "tRNA-OTHER". It matches the Rfam family "tRNA". Rfam says of the family: Transfer RNA (tRNA) molecules are approximately 80 nucleotides in length. Their secondary structure includes four short double-helical elements and three loops (D, anti-codon, and T loops). Lineage: Bacteria; Pseudomonadati; Pseudomonadota; Gammaproteobacteria; Enterobacterales; Erwiniaceae. The record is from RNAcentral.
UCGGGCAUGGUAUAAAGGUAUUACUGCGACUCUUUAUGGGUUGACGAUGCGGGUUCAAAUCCUGCUGCCCGGUCCA